UUUACCGGUCCCAUAGUUUCCAAGUCAUUUCCUGGAAAGGAACUGAUGUGUAACUGUAAAUUCAAUGCACUGUUCCUGAAAAGAACUAUGUCAUUUGGAACUAAUUAUUGGGCCAAUGAGACCAUCUGGACUGGGCAUGCUUACAAUUAUUGUAC
Long non-coding RNA from Etheostoma spectabile (orangethroat darter), 155 nucleotides. RefSeq lists it as uncharacterized. The record is from RefSeq and is a predicted model, not a curated record. NCBI's taxonomy places the organism in Eukaryota, Metazoa, Chordata, Actinopteri, Perciformes, Percidae. The transcript is spliced from 5 exons.